GCCACUUCUUGGAUGGCUACUUCAUUGUAUAUAGUGCCAGAGCUCAUGAAGACAUCCAAGGACGGAGAGAUGUUUCUGAGCUUCACCAGUCUCUUGGAGGAAAAUAGCUUGUAAAAUUGACUUUUAAGUUCAACAUUCAUGAGUUGUAAAUAGUGUUAAGGUGGUUCUAUCUUCGUGUAUGGGAACUGUAGGAUCUUUAUUUUACUAGCACCAUAUUCUCAUACAGCUUUAUAGAAAGCAUGACGUUGUUGCACCGUAGCAAACACACCCAUAGUUUGAUAAUAUGCUUUCACCACCUCUAUCCUCUACCCCCCUCUUGUUACAAAAUCGAUCUUCUAUGACUCUUAGCUAGAGAUCCUCAAGUCAUGGUAAGAUCAAUAAAUACAUGUGAUCUUUUAGUUUAAAUGUAUAGUUGAAAUAGGUAGAAAGGAUUUCAU
This 437-nucleotide unclassified non-coding RNA is filed under the name Hevea brasiliensis (rubber tree). Lineage: Eukaryota; Viridiplantae; Streptophyta; Magnoliopsida; Malpighiales; Euphorbiaceae. The record is from RNAcentral.